This 435-nucleotide ribosomal RNA is filed under the name uncultured bacterium. RNAcentral's name for it is "bacterial SSU rRNA". It matches the Rfam family "Bacterial small subunit ribosomal RNA", at positions 958 to 1392 of the family's 1533-position model. The record is from RNAcentral.
AACGCGAAGAACCUUACCAAGACUUGACAUGGAGACGACCGGAUUAGAGAUAAUCCUUCCCUUCGGGGCGUUUCACACAGGUGGUGCAUGGUUGUCGUCAGCUCGUGUCGUGAGAUGUUGGGUUAAGUCCCGCAACGAGCGCAACCCUUACUAUUAGUAGCCAUCAGUUCGGCUGGGCACUCUAAUGGGACUGCCGUGGAUAACACGGAGGAAGGUGGGGAUGACGUCAAAUCAUCAUGCCCCUUAUGUCUUGGGCUACACACGUACUACAAUGGAUGAGAACAAAGUGAAGCGAGCACGCGAGUGUAAGCAAAGCACAAAAAAGCAUCCUCAGUUCGGAUCGCAGUCUGCAACUCGACUGCGUGAAGGUGGAAUCGCUAGUAAUCGCGAAUCAGCAUGUCGCGGUGAAUACGUUCCCGGGUCUUGUACACACCG